UACGAAGGGGGCUAGCGUUGCUCGGAAUCACUGGGCGUAAAGGGCGCGUAGGCGGUUAUUUAAGUUGGAUGUGAAAUCCCUGGGCUUAACCUAGGACUGGCAUUCAAAACUGGAUAACUGGAGUAUGGUAGAGGGUGGCGGAAUUUCCGGUGUAGCGGUGAAAUGCGUAGAGAUCGGAAGGAACACCCGUGGCGAAGGCGGCCACCUGGACCAAUACUGACGUGAGGCGCGAGAGCGUGGGGGAGCAAACAGG
Molecule: ribosomal RNA, 253 nt
Filed under: uncultured bacterium
Lineage: Bacteria
Description: partial 16S ribosomal RNA
Rfam family: Bacterial small subunit ribosomal RNA
Source: RNAcentral